UACGAAGGUGGCAAGCGUUCCUCGGAAUUACUAGGCGUAAAGGGCAGGUAGGUGGUUUGGUAAGUCUAUUGUGAAAGCUCCUGGCUUAACUGGGAGAGGUCAAUGGAUACUGCCGGACUUGAGUAUAGGAGAGGUUACUGGAAUUCCCGGUGUAGCGGUGAAAUGCGCAGAGAUCGGGAGGAACACCAAUGGCGAAAGCAGGUAACUGGACUAUUACUGACACUCAGCUGCGAAAGCUAGGGGAGCAAACAGG
Molecule: ribosomal RNA, 253 nt
Filed under: uncultured bacterium
Lineage: Bacteria
Description: partial 16S ribosomal RNA
Rfam family: Bacterial small subunit ribosomal RNA
Source: RNAcentral